UACAGAGGUCUCAAGCGUUGUUCGGAUUCAUUGGGCGUAAAGGGUGCGUAGGUGGCGCGCUAAGUCGGGUGUGAAAUCUCGGAGCUUAACUCCGAAAUUGCAUUCGAUACUGGCGUGCUUGAGGACUGGAGAGGAGACUGGAAUUCAUGGUGUAGCAGUGAAAUGCGUAGAGAUCAUGAGGAAGACCAGUGGCGAAGGCGGGUCUCUGGGCCGAUAUCGACGCUGAGGAGCGAAAGCGUGGGGAGCGAACAGG
RNAcentral lists this ribosomal RNA (253 nucleotides) under uncultured bacterium. Its description in RNAcentral is "partial 16S ribosomal RNA". It matches the Rfam family "Bacterial small subunit ribosomal RNA", at positions 524 to 776 of the family's 1533-position model. The record is from RNAcentral.